UGCAGUCGAGCGGACAGAUGGGAGCUUGCUCCCUGAUGUUAGCGGCGGACGGGUGAGUAACACGUGGGUAACCUGCCUGUAAGACUGGGAUAACUCCGGGAAACCGGGGCUAAUACCGGAUGGUUGUUUGAACCGCAUGGUUCAGACAUAAAAGGUGGCUUCGGCUACCACUUACAGAUGGACCCGCGGCGCAUUAGCUAGUUGGUGAGGUAACGGCUCACCAAGGCGACGAUGCGUAGCCGACCUGAGAGGGUGAUCGGCCACACUGGGACUGAGACACGGCCCAGACUCCUACGGGAGGCAGCAGUAGGGAAUCUUCCGCAAUGGACGAAAGUCUGACGGAGCAACGCCGCGUGAGUGAUGAAVGUUUUCGGAUCG
This 378-nucleotide ribosomal RNA is filed under the name Bacillus sp. JC12GB43. RNAcentral describes it as "bacterial SSU rRNA". It matches the Rfam family "Bacterial small subunit ribosomal RNA", at positions 56 to 425 of the family's 1533-position model. The record is from RNAcentral. Lineage: Bacteria; Bacillati; Bacillota; Bacilli; Caryophanales; Bacillaceae.